AGAAACCUUGCGGGGGCAACCUUAGCUGGAAACCAGGUGAUUUAGCAAACUUUUUAUGAAAGGCCUAUUUCUUUUAUUGGCUCUUCUUCCAAUUCUGCAGGGAGUUCUGGAAACACUCCCUCAAGCAUUAGGAUUCUACUGUUGAAUGCCAGCCUGUUGUAGCUACUACGUAUCUUGCAUAGGAGGGGUGAAUGAAGCAGUGCAUGGAAGCAGCCACAGCGGUGUUGCACCCUGCAGCAUCAGGAGACUUGAAGGUCUCUGAAGAGCAAGCUUACCCCUACGAUACAGGUUACCUAUUCUACGUUAAAGUUGGCAACCUCUGACGUGUAAAUUGAGGAGGAACAGGGGCCGUGUUCAACUCUCCCUCAUGCAAAGAUGAGCAAAACAGUAAAGUAAAACCAGCCUACCUAUUUGUUACCGGGUGGAAGAUGGUGCAGUUGCCACAACUGAAUUGUGCAGAAGCAACUUUUACUCACCCUGAGUCACCAUUUGGAGCCAUGCAAUAUAGCCGUCUGCUCCCAGAAGUCAAAGGAACAUAGCCUCCUCUUGCAAGCACCUUGGUGCCAUCGGAACCUGAGCCUUUGCCAUGUGCCAGCCCAGCUAAGACCAUAGCAACAGGGGAAGUUAGUCUCUCUCAAGUGUCUGCAGAAGAAUUAAAGACUCACCUGGCACCAAAUAUAAAAGGAGGAGCAGGAGACGCAUCAGCAUCUUGGAAAGAGAAUAGUUAAAGAUUAUAACACCUGCAGAAUGAGAAUUUCAUAAUUCUUUUAAGGGGAAGGCAGAGAAGAAGUGUUUUACAAAUAAAAGCCCAUUUUCACA
This is a long non-coding RNA of Hemicordylus capensis (graceful crag lizard), 819 nucleotides long. RefSeq lists it as uncharacterized. The record is from RefSeq and is a predicted model, not a curated record. The transcript is spliced from 3 exons. NCBI's taxonomy places the organism in Eukaryota, Metazoa, Chordata, Lepidosauria, Squamata, Cordylidae.